GGGAUAACACUUGGAAACAGGUGCUAAUACCGCAUAACCAUAGUUACCGCAUGGUAACUAUGUAAAAGGUGGCUAUGCUACCGCUUUCGGAUGGGCCCGCGGCGCAUUAGCUAGUUGGUGGGGUAAAGGCUUACCAAGGCAAUGAUGCGUAGCCGAACUGAGAGGUUGAUCGGCCACAUUGGGACUGAGACACGGCCCAAACUCCUACGGGAGGCAGCAGUAGGGAAUCUUCCACAAUGGGCGAAAGCCUGAUGGAGCAACGCCGCGUGGGUGAAGAAGGUCUUCGGAUCGUAAAACCCUGUUGUUAGAGAAGAAAGUGCGUGAGAGUAACUGUUCACGUUUCGACGGUAUCUAACCAGAAAGCCACGGCUAACUACGUGCCAGCAGCCGCGGUAAUACGUAGGUGGCAAGCGUUAUCCGGAUUUAUUGGGCGUAAAGGGAACGCAGGCGGUCUUUUAAGUCUGAUGUGAAAGCCUUCGGCUUAACCGGAGUAGUGCAUUGGAAACUGGGAGACUUGAGUGCAGAAGAGGAGAGUGGAACUCCAUGUGUAGCGGUGAAAUGCGUAGAUAUAUGGAAGAACACCAGUGGCGAAAGCGGCUCUCUGGUCUGUAACUGACGCUGAGGUUCGAAAGCGUGGGUAGCAAACAGGAUUAGAUACCCUGGUAGUCCACGCCGUAAAC
RNAcentral lists this ribosomal RNA (680 nucleotides) under uncultured bacterium. RNAcentral describes it as "bacterial SSU rRNA". It matches the Rfam family "Bacterial small subunit ribosomal RNA", at positions 140 to 807 of the family's 1533-position model. The record is from RNAcentral.